AUUGAACGCUGGCGGCAUGCCUUACACAUGCAAGUCGAACGGUAACAGGUCUUCGGAUGCUGACGAGUGGCGAACGGGUGAGUAAUCCAUCGGAACGUGCCUAGUAGUGGGGGAUAACUACUCGAAAGAGUGGCUAAUACCGCCUGAGAUCUACGGAUGAAAGCAGGGGAUUGGCAUACCUUGUGCUACCAGAGCGCCCGAUGGCAGAUUAGGUAGUUGGUGGGAUAAAAGCUUACCAAGCCGACGAUCUGUAGCUGGUCUGGGAGGACGAUCAGCCAGAGUGGGACUGGGACUCGGCCCAGACUCCUACGGGAGGCAGCAGUGGGGAAUUUUGGACAAUGGGCGAAAGCCUGAUCCAGCAAUGCCGCGUGCAGGAUGAAGGCCUUCGGGUUGUAAACUGCUUUUGUACGGAACGAAAAGCCCCGGGUUAAUACCCUGGGGUCAUGACGGUACCGUAAGAAUAAGCACCGGCUAACUACGUGCCAGCCGCCGCCGUAA
Molecule: ribosomal RNA, 498 nt
Filed under: uncultured bacterium
Lineage: Bacteria
Description: partial 16S ribosomal RNA
Rfam family: Bacterial small subunit ribosomal RNA
Source: RNAcentral